GCCGAAGUGGUGGAAUUGGUAGACACGCUAGACUUAGGAUCUAGUGCCGCAAGGCGUGGAGGUUCAAGUCCUCUCUUCGGUACCA
This 85-nucleotide transfer RNA is filed under the name Desulfotignum balticum. RNAcentral's name for it is "tRNA-Leu". It matches the Rfam family "tRNA". Rfam says of the family: Transfer RNA (tRNA) molecules are approximately 80 nucleotides in length. Their secondary structure includes four short double-helical elements and three loops (D, anti-codon, and T loops). Further hydrogen bonds mediate the characteristic L-shaped molecular structure. tRNAs have two regions of fundamental functional importance: the anti-codon, which is responsible for specific mRNA codon recognition, and the 3' end, to which the tRNAs corresponding amino acid is attached (by aminoacyl-tRNA synthetases). tRNAs cope with the degeneracy of the genetic code in two manners: having more than one tRNA (with a specific anti-codon) for a particular amino acid; and 'wobble' base-pairing, i.e. permitting non-standard base-pairing at the 3rd anti-codon position. Lineage: Bacteria; Pseudomonadati; Thermodesulfobacteriota; Desulfobacteria; Desulfobacterales; Desulfobacteraceae. The record is from RNAcentral. RNAcentral also lists the same sequence under 6 other names.